This 770-nucleotide long non-coding RNA is filed under the name Pan troglodytes (chimpanzee). RNAcentral's name for it is "lincRNA". The record is from RNAcentral. Lineage: Eukaryota; Metazoa; Chordata; Mammalia; Primates; Hominidae.
GCUAAAAUUCUAGAGCAGAAUCCCUGGGGCAGCCCCUGCUGAAGAAGGGUGCAUCUGUUGAGAAUCUCAUCACCGCCCCCACCCCGCCCAGCCUUCAAUUUAGAGGAAUUUCUAGUUCACGCAGAAUGAAGACAAGAUCACAUAAGUGAGGACGACGCCCCAUUUACAAGUGUGGUUUGGAAGACUGAAGUGGAAACCUUGGGAAGGGGCCUCAGAGUAUGUCAGCUGGGGUCAGACGGGAACAGGAGUCUGGCUCAACACACAUUUAUUGCACUCCUGCUUCAUGCCAAGAAAUGCACCAAAAUCUGGGACUGUGUAACACAGCAAAGGAAAAGACUCAUCUCCAGGAAGCCCCCUUGUCUAGGAAGAGAAAUUGAAUAUCAGCAUAAGGUGGUGAAAAGCUAUGAAGGAGAUGAGUGCCACGAGUCCAUGGAGGAAGGAUUCUAGCCUGGACAGGUGAUUGUGGUGAAUAGUCAUGAGAAUCUGGGAACUGGCUCCUGCUCUGUCUAUCUUGGAGAUGCAUCUUUUGUGAGAGGACAGGGCAAGAAUAGGGAGGCUUAGGCAAUGGGGAGUUUCUGAGUAGAUAAAGCAGAUGGCAGAGCAAAGGGACAGAGCCUGGCGAGAGGCUACUCCCUGUAGCAACCUGCCUAAGAGUGAGAGGAAAGCAAGGCAUGGCUAUGAGCACAUGUAGUCUCAGCUACCUGGGAAGCUGAGGCUGGGAGAUCACUUGAGCCCGGGAGUUCAAGACCAGCCUAGGCAACAUAGUGAGA